AUUGAACGCUGGCGGCAGGCCUAACACAUGCAAGUCGAGCGAGCGGCGGACGGGUGAGUAAUGUAUGGGGACUGCCCGAUAGAGGGGGAUAACUACUGGAAACGGUGGCUAAUACCGCAUACUAUCGGAUAACCCAUAUUGGAUUAGCUAGUAGGUGGGGUAAAGGCUCACCUAGGCGACGAUCUCUAGCUGGUCUGAGAGGAUGAUUAGCCCGAAGGGGACUUGGACACGGCCCGGACUCCCACGGAGGCAGCAGUGGGGAAUAUUGCACAAUGGGGGCAACCCUGACGCAGCCAUGCCGCGUGAAUGAAGAAGGCCUUCGGGUUGUAAAGUUCUUUCGGUAGCGAGGCGUUAACUACAGAAGAAGCACCGGCUAACUCCGUGCCAGCAGCCGCGGUAAUUC
RNAcentral lists this ribosomal RNA (403 nucleotides) under uncultured bacterium. Its description in RNAcentral is "partial 16S ribosomal RNA". It matches the Rfam family "Bacterial small subunit ribosomal RNA", at positions 30 to 526 of the family's 1533-position model. The record is from RNAcentral.